UAGCAAACAAAUUUACUGAUGCCCAUGCUUUUUCAAGUGCAUUUGUAAUUUUGCUGAUGCCCUUCUCAUGCCUUCUAUCUCUAAUAAUCUCUAGCAGAAAGAACACGGCUUUUAUGUUCCUUUUCAUAAAUCUUUUUAUUUAAACAUAGUAUCAACCUUUUGCAGAGACAUGAAUAAAAAUUUUACUUGAAGAGGCACAUGACUGGAAGCUUUCCACUCCAUGCAAGCCAAUACCACAGAGUUCUCUUUGGCCGGCCAACACAUAAUGGACCUCAGAGACUAAGCCGAUCAGAGAUGCUCAGUAUCCCGAAUCUAUCAAAUCAAAGUUGUUAGCUGCUUCAGCCAGGUGUUGGAAAGAGUUGCCUGCUUUUACGAUUCUCUGAUGGCUCCUUCACAACCAGCUUCAUACCACUAUUGGAGAUUUUGGAGUUCCAUUGGUUCUGCAGCACUUGCAAAUGGCUCAUUUGCAAGG
Molecule: long non-coding RNA, 472 nt
Organism: Rosa chinensis
Lineage: Eukaryota; Viridiplantae; Streptophyta; Magnoliopsida; Rosales; Rosaceae
Exons: 4
Source: RefSeq, a predicted model, not a curated record